Molecule: small RNA, 16 nt
Filed under: Arabidopsis thaliana (thale cress)
Lineage: Eukaryota; Viridiplantae; Streptophyta; Magnoliopsida; Brassicales; Brassicaceae
Description: ATSL305690
Source: RNAcentral
AUAAGAAAGACAAAGA